UGGGGAAUCUUCCGCAAUGGACGAAAGUCUGACGGAGCAACGCCGCGUGAGUGAAGACGGCCUUCGGGUUGUAAAGCUCUGUGAUCCGGGACGAAAGAGCCUGAGGUGAAUAGCCUAAGGAAGUGACGGUACCGGAAAAGCAAGCCACGGCUAACUACGUGCCAGCAGCCGCGGUAAUACGUAGGUGGCAAGCGUUGUCCGGAAUUAUUGGGCGUAAAGCGCGCGCAGGCGGCUUCCUAAGUCCAUCUUAAAAGUGCGGGGCUUAACCCCGUGAUGGGAUGGAAACUGGGAAGCUGGAGUAUUGGAGAGGAAAGUGGAAUUCCUAGUGUAGCGGUGAAAUGCGUAGAGAUUAGGAAGAACACCGGUGGCGAAGGCGACUUUCUGGACGAAAACUGACGCUGAGGCGCGAAAGCGUGGGGAGCAAACAGG
RNAcentral lists this ribosomal RNA (429 nucleotides) under Fusobacteriota bacterium. RNAcentral describes it as "Fusobacteria bacterium partial 16S ribosomal RNA". It matches the Rfam family "Bacterial small subunit ribosomal RNA", at positions 355 to 776 of the family's 1533-position model. The record is from RNAcentral. Lineage: Bacteria; Fusobacteriati; Fusobacteriota.